GAUCGAGUUUGAUCCUGGCUCAGGAUGAACGCUAGCGGCAGGCUAACACAUGCAAGUCGAGGGGUAGAGUUAGCUUGCUAACUUGAGACCGGCGCACGGGUGCGUAACGCGUAUGCAAUCUACCUUAUACAGAGGGAUAGCCCAGAGAAAUUUGGAUUAAUACCUCAUAGUGUUAUUGAAUGGCAUCAUUUACUAACUAAAGUUCCAACGGUAUAAGAUGAGCAUGCGUCCUAUUAGCUAGAUGGUAAGGUAACGGCUUACCAUGGCUACGAUAGGUAGGGGUCCUGAGAGGGACGACUCCCCACACUGGGUACUGAGACACGGACCAGACUCCGUACGGGAGGCAGCAGUGAGGAAUA
Molecule: ribosomal RNA, 359 nt
Filed under: uncultured Flavobacterium sp.
Lineage: Bacteria; Pseudomonadati; Bacteroidota; Flavobacteriia; Flavobacteriales; Flavobacteriaceae
Description: bacterial SSU rRNA
Rfam family: Bacterial small subunit ribosomal RNA
Source: RNAcentral